GUUAUAUGGUCAAGUGAAGAAGCGCAUACGGUGGAUGCCUUGGCAGUCAGAGGCGAUGAAAGACGUGGUAGCCUGCGAAAAGCUUCGGGGAGUCGGCAAACAGACUUUGAUCCGGAGAUCUCUGAAUGGGGGAACCCACCUAGGAUAACCUAGGUAUCUUGUACUGAAUCCAUAGGUGCAAGAGGCGAACCAGGGGAACUGAAACAUCUAAGUACCCUGAGGAAAAGAAAUCAACCGAGAUUCCCUUAGUAGUGGCGAGCGAACGGGGAUUAGCCCUUAAGCUUCAUUGAUUUUAGCGGAACGCUCUGGAAAGUGCGGCCAUAGUGGGUGAUAGCCCCGUACGCGAAAGGAUCUUUGAAGUGAAAUCGAGUAGGACGGAGCACGAGAAACUUUGUCUGAACAUGGGGGGACCAUCCUCCAAGGCUAAAUACUACUGACUGACCGAUAGUGAACCAGUACCGUGAGGGAAAGGCGAAAAGAACCCCGGAGAGGGGAGUGAAAUAGAACCUGAAACCGUAUGCGUACAAGCAGUGGGAGCCUACUUGUUAGGUGACUGCGUACCUUUUGUAUAAUGGGUCAGCGACUUAUAUUCAGUGGCAAGCUUAACCGUAUAGGGUAGGCGUAGCGAAAGCGAGUCUUAAUAGGGCGUUUAGUCGCUGGGUAUAGACCCGAAACCGGGCGAUCUAUCCAUGAGCAGGUUGAAGGUUAGGUAACACUGACUGGAGGACCGAACCCACUCCCGUUGAAAAGGUAGGGGAUGACUUGUGGAUCGGAGUGAAAGGCUAAUCAAGCUCGGAGAUAGCUGGUUCUCCUCGAAAGCUAUUUAGGUAGCGCCUCAUGUAUCACUCUGGGGGGUAGAGCACUGUUUCGGCUAGGGGGUCAUCCCGACUUACCAAACCGAUGCAAACUCCGAAUACCCAGAAGUGCCGAGCAUGGGAGACACACGGCGGGUGCUAACGUCCGUCGUGAAAAGGGAAACAACCCAGACCGCCAGCUAAGGUCCCAAAGUUGUGGUUAAGUGGUAAACGAUGUGGGAAGGCUUAGACAGCUAGGAGGUUGGCUUAGAAGCAGCCACCCUUUAAAGAAAGCGUAAUAGCUCACUAGUCGAGUCGGCCUGCGCGGAAGAUGUAACGGGGCUCAAACCACACACCGAAGCUGCGGGUGUCACGUAAGUGACGCGGUAGAGGAGCGUUCUGUAAGCCUGUGAAGGUGAGUUGAGAAGCUUGCUGGAGGUAUCAGAAGUGCGAAUGCUGACAUGAGUAACGACAAUGGGUGUGAAAAACACCCACGCCGAAAGACCAAGGGUUCCUGCGCAACGUUAAUCGACGCAGGGUUAGUCGGUUCCUAAGGCGAGGCUGAAAAGCGUAGUCGAUGGGAAACAGGUUAAUAUUCCUGUACUUCUGGUUACUGCGAUGGAGGGACGGAGAAGGCUAGGCCAGCUUGGCGUUGGUUGUCCAAGUUUAAGGUGGUAGGCUGAAAUCUUAGGUAAAUCCGGGGUUUCAAGGCCGAGAGCUGAUGACGAGUCGUCUUUUAGAUGACGAAGUGGUUGAUGCCAUGCUUCCAAGAAAAGCUUCUAAGCUUCAGGUAACCAGGAACCGUACCCCAAACCGACACAGGUGGUCGGGUAGAGAAUACCAAGGCGCUUGAGAGAACUCGGGUGAAGGAACUAGGCAAAAUGGCACCGUAACUUCGGGAGAAGGUGCGCCGGCUAGGGUGAAGGAUUUACUCCGUAAGCUCUGGCUGGUCGAAGAUACCAGGCCGCUGCGACUGUUUAUUAAAAACACAGCACUCUGCAAACACGAAA
Molecule: ribosomal RNA, 1804 nt
Filed under: Pseudomonas aeruginosa
Lineage: Bacteria; Pseudomonadati; Pseudomonadota; Gammaproteobacteria; Pseudomonadales; Pseudomonadaceae
Description: bacterial LSU rRNA
Rfam family: Bacterial large subunit ribosomal RNA
Source: RNAcentral